UUUAAUUAAAUUUGUUUUCAGUGUGACUGUACGCAACCAAAUUACUUACAUGUGUUUGAUUAAUUGUGAUCAAAUUUUUUCCUUGAUGUGACUAAAUUUGUCUUCAACGUCACUCUAUGUAAUUAGGUCAAUUUUAACCAAGACAGUAUGUGAUCAAGUCACAAUCGAUCACAAUUAACACAAAAUUAGUCACAAUCAAUCACGAUAAAUACAUAUUUGGUUACAAAGUAUCACCAAAAACAAAUGUA
Molecule: long non-coding RNA, 248 nt
Filed under: Olea europaea subsp. europaea
Lineage: Eukaryota; Viridiplantae; Streptophyta; Magnoliopsida; Lamiales; Oleaceae
Source: RNAcentral